AGUGAACGCUGGCGGUAGGCCUAACACAUGCAAGUCGAACGGCAGCACAGUAAGAGCUUGCUCUUACGGGUGGUGAGUGGCGGACGGGUGAGGAAUACAUCGGAAUCUACUUUUUCGUGGGGGAUAACGUAGGGAAACUUACGCUAAUACCGCAUACGACCUACUGGUGAAAGCAGGGGAUCUUCGGACCUUGCGCGAUUGAAUGAGCCGAUGUCGGAUUAGCUAGUUGGCGGGGUAAAGGCCCACCAAGGCGACGAUCCGUAGCUGGUCUGAGAGGAUGAUCAGCCACACUGGAACUGAGACACGGUCCAGACUCCUACGGGAGGCAGCAGUGGGGAAUAUUGGACAAUGGGCGCAAGCCUGAUCCAGCCAUACCGCGUGGGUGAAGAAGGCCUUCGGGUUGUAAAGCCCUUUUGUUGGGAAAGAAAAGCAGCAGGUUAAUACCCCGCUGUUCUGACGGUACCCAAAGAAUAAGCACCGGCUAACUUCGUG
This 492-nucleotide ribosomal RNA is filed under the name uncultured bacterium. Its description in RNAcentral is "partial 16S ribosomal RNA". It matches the Rfam family "Bacterial small subunit ribosomal RNA", at positions 29 to 507 of the family's 1533-position model. The record is from RNAcentral.